AGUGAACGCUGGCGGCAGGCCUAACACAUGCAAGUCGAGCGGCAGCGCGGGGGCAACCCUGGCGGCGAGCGGCGGACGGGUGAGGAAUGCAUCGGAAUCUACCUCGUUGUGGGGGAUAACGUAGGGAAACUUACGCUAAUACCGCAUACGACCUACGGGUGAAAGUGGGGGACCUUCGGGCCUCACGCGAUGAGAUGAGCCGAUGCCGGAUUAGCUAGUUGGCGGGGUAAAGGCCCACCAAGGCGACGAUCCGUAGCUGGUCUGAGAGGAUGAUCAGCCACACUGGAACUGAGACACGGUCCAGACUCCUACGGGAGGCAGCAGUGGGGAAUAUUGGACAAUGGGCGCAAGCCUGAUCCAGCCAUGCCGCGUGUGUGAAGAAGGCCUCGG
RNAcentral lists this ribosomal RNA (390 nucleotides) under uncultured bacterium. RNAcentral's name for it is "bacterial SSU rRNA". It matches the Rfam family "Bacterial small subunit ribosomal RNA", at positions 30 to 420 of the family's 1533-position model. The record is from RNAcentral.